GUGUGUUACUUGCAGGCUUCUCCGCUUUGAGCUCAGUUCAACACCCCAUUUCUUGUAAACUUCUUCUUUUUCCUUCUUUCCAAACUUGUUUGGUAUUUGCUUAGCUAACCAUUCUCUCUCGUGUGUUAGUGCUUUGGCAGUUUGUUUCCUCGAUGUCUCAGGCGAGUCCUUUAGAAAUGAUAGUCUUCGGAGUUCGACUUCCAUGUAAACAAAGUCCGAUGGAUCGCCUUUGAAGAGCAAGAAAAAGUAUGUUCUGUGAACCAAAGGUACGUUACAUACUUCCCAAAGCUCGAUUAUUUGGCUUUGUUGUCUCUCAAAUUCUGUUUUCUCGCCGCCAUCAUCUGUGUUUUCUGGCUUCAUUGUCUUUGUUUCAGUAUCGCUAUGCGUGGAAUGUUGCUGCAUUGUCCUUUCUCUAAGUCCUGCCAUAAAUUCAUGGAAGCUACUACCGCUAGUCUCU
This 457-nucleotide long non-coding RNA is filed under the name Arabidopsis lyrata. Its description in RNAcentral is "long non-coding RNA (ALYR_LNC000837)". Lineage: Eukaryota; Viridiplantae; Streptophyta; Magnoliopsida; Brassicales; Brassicaceae. The record is from RNAcentral.